GUUCCUACUGCUCUCCUGCAAGGUGUAAUCUGCAUCUUGCACUGGGAAGGGGAUAGCUGGUGACAGGAUCUCUGUGCUAGGAACAGACUGACAGUUUGGGGUGUAAAUCCCCAGAGCAGGACUGGUCCCAGCGCUUCUUCUUUCUUUCUUUGUGCUUUGGGAAGAGAACAGACUCAAGAAUUAUACUGAUCUAAGUCCAAGAACAAACAUUCCUCCUUCACAGGCCACAGCCUCUCCUGUGUCAUGUGAGGAAGAGAAGCAGGGAAGGGCAGUGCUUUGCCAAGACUAGAAUGUACCCAAAUCUGUGAAUACCGUCAGGAGCUGGGAAGAGGAAGAAAGAGCCCAAGUGGUCAGCCCUGGAAAGGGCAGUUCCUGCCGAGAACUGGCUGGGGAACAUUUUCCUAACCAGCAACAGCUGUCAAAAGGGGAAAGAAGAGUGAUUGUGGACCCUGCCAGCAGCACCUCUCAUCUGCAGCUGGGACGGGAGAGCAGACAGCUCCCAGCACAGUCCUCUGGCCCCGCAGCAAGGAAAACGUGUGUCAUUUUCCAGAGGGCUGAGCCAGCACUAACCAGGGAAACAGGCACAGAGAAGGAGCUGUUGGAGCAGAGCCAAGAGAAGGGCUGAGACUGAAUAGUCCAAUAAAUCCAGCAAUUUCUCCAUGUGCUUCCAGCCCUUCUUGCUUAACCUCAGAGAGAAAAAGUGACACUGGCAGAAGGAAAGAAAAGGAGUGGGGCUCUGUGCAGGUCUGCAGAUCCCCAGGAUCCACAUCCAGAGAGCUCCUGGCAAUGGUCAUGCCCCUGGCUGCCUUCCCCAGAACUCUUGCUUGCUGCACAGGAAGGGUAAGUGCUGAGGCUGCUGGAGAUGUGCAGCAUCUCCAUGUGCAGAGUUUAG
This 892-nucleotide long non-coding RNA is filed under the name Manacus vitellinus (golden-collared manakin). RNAcentral describes it as "lncRNA (ENSMVIG00005011820.1)". The record is from RNAcentral. Lineage: Eukaryota; Metazoa; Chordata; Aves; Passeriformes; Pipridae.